RNAcentral lists this transfer RNA (62 nucleotides) under Proknekalia peringueyi. RNAcentral describes it as "Argas peringueyi tRNA-Ala". Lineage: Eukaryota; Metazoa; Arthropoda; Arachnida; Ixodida; Argasidae. The record is from RNAcentral.
AGAAUAGUAUUUAAAAUAUAUAAAAUCUAAUUUCCAUUUAGAAAUUGCAUAAACUUAUUCUA